Long non-coding RNA from Vicia villosa (hairy vetch), 493 nucleotides. RefSeq lists it as uncharacterized. The transcript is spliced from 4 exons. Lineage: Eukaryota; Viridiplantae; Streptophyta; Magnoliopsida; Fabales; Fabaceae. The record is from RefSeq and is a predicted model, not a curated record.
GUGUGUAUAUUUAUUUAUUUAUGUGAAUUGUUCUAAAUUAUGCGUUUAUGUUUUAUUAGUGUUAUACAAGUUUUUCGAGCACAAAGAGGAAGUCAAGUACCAAAGAGUAAAGCCAACAACAUCACAUGGAUUCGAGUGGAGUGUCCUGAGCAGCGUAAUGAAGUAGAUUGCGAUUUUUACAUGUUGCAGUUUAUGAAAGAAAUUAUUCUUUUAAAUCAAAUAGAGAUUCCGUCCAAGUACUUUGAUGACUUCAAGUGUACGACUUACUCAAGAUCUAAGUUGGAUGAACUUAAGGAGGAAUGGUGUCAAUUCAUGAUUGAGUUGAAAGUUGUAUAGGAUAUUGAAGGGUAAAAAGGUUACAGUUGCUGGCAAGAAGAAAAAGUAGAUAUUUAGCAUCCUUUUGACUUGUGUAACAAAUAACAAUGUUUUGGAUGAUGCAAUUGUUUUUAUUGAAUUGGAUGUAAUUUUGUUGUUGUUUAUUAAUAUAUUCUUA